RNAcentral lists this ribosomal RNA (255 nucleotides) under uncultured bacterium. RNAcentral describes it as "partial 16S ribosomal RNA". It matches the Rfam family "Bacterial small subunit ribosomal RNA", at positions 524 to 776 of the family's 1533-position model. The record is from RNAcentral.
UACGAAGGGGGCUAGCGUUGUUCGGAAUUACUGGGCGUAAAGCGCACGUAGGCGGACUACUAAGUCAGGGGUGAAAUCCCGGGGCUCAACCCCGGAACUGCCUUUGAUACUGAUAGUCUCGAGUCCGGAAGAGGUGAGUGGAAUUCCGAGUGUAGAGGUGAAAUUCGUAGAUAUUGGGAAGAACACCGGUGGCGAAGGCGGCCUGCUGGGCAGUUUUGCUGACACUGAGGCGCGACAGCGUGGGGAGCAAACAGG